GUGAACGCUGGCGGUAGGCCUAACACAUGCAAGUCGAACGGCAGCACAGUAAGAGCUUGCUCUUACGGGUGGCGAGUGGCGGACGGGUGAGGAAUACAUCGGAAUCUACUUUUUCGUGGGGGAUAACGUAGGGAAACUUACGCUAAUACCGCAUACAACCUACGGGUGAAAGCAGGGGAUCUUCGGACCUUGCGCGAUUGAAUGAGCCGAUGUCGGAUUAGCUAGUUGGCGGGGUAAAGGCCCACCAAGGCGACGAUCCGUAGCUGGUCUGAGAGGAUGAUCAGCCACACUGGAACUGAGACACGGUCCAGACUCCUACGGGAGGCAGCAGUGGGGAAUAUUGGACAAUGGGCGCAAGCCUGAUCCAGCCAUACCGCGUGGGUGAAGAAGGCCUUCGGGUUGUAAAGCCCUUUUGUUGGGAAAGAAAAGCAGCAGGUUAAUACCCCGCUGUUCUGACGGUACCCAAAGAAUAAGCACCGGCUAACUUCGUG
Molecule: ribosomal RNA, 491 nt
Filed under: uncultured bacterium
Lineage: Bacteria
Description: partial 16S ribosomal RNA
Rfam family: Bacterial small subunit ribosomal RNA
Source: RNAcentral